UGGGGAAUAUUGGACAAUGGGCGCAAGCCUGAUCCAGCCAUGCCGCGUGUGUGAAGAAGGCCUUCGGGUUGUAAAGCACUUUUGUCCGGAAAGAAAUCCUGUCGGCUAAUACCCGGCGGGGAUGACGGUACCGGAAGAAUAAGCACCGGCUAACUUCGUGCCAGCAGCCGCGGUAAUACGAAGGGUGCAAGCGUUACUCGGAAUUACUGGGCGUAAAGCGUGCGUAGGUGGUUUGUUAAGUCUGAUGUGAAAGCCCUGGGCUCAACCUGGGAACUGCAUUGGAUACUGGCUUACUAGAGUGCGGUAGAGGGUGGCGGAAUUCCCGGUGUGGCAGUGAAAUGCGUAGAUAUCGGGAGGAACAUCCGUGGCGAAGGCGGCCACCUGGACCAGCACUGACACUGAGGCACGAAAGCGUGGGGAGCAAACAGGAUUAGAUACCCUGGUAGUCCACGCCCUAAACGAUGCGAACUGGAUGUUGGAGCAACUAGGCUCUCAGUAUCGAAGCUAACGCGUUAAGUUCGCCGCCUGGGAAGUACGGUCGCAAGACUGAAACUCAAAUGAAUUGACGGGGUCAUAGCUGUUUCCU
Molecule: ribosomal RNA, 586 nt
Filed under: uncultured bacterium
Lineage: Bacteria
Description: partial 16S ribosomal RNA
Rfam family: Bacterial small subunit ribosomal RNA
Source: RNAcentral